GGUGGGGUUCCCGAGCGGCCAAAGGGAGCAGACUGUAAAUCUGCCGUCAUCGACUUCGAAGGUUCGAAUCCUUCCCCCGUGG
This 82-nucleotide transfer RNA is filed under the name Salmonella enterica subsp. enterica serovar Typhimurium. Its description in RNAcentral is "tRNA-Tyr". It matches the Rfam family "tRNA". Rfam says of the family: Transfer RNA (tRNA) molecules are approximately 80 nucleotides in length. Their secondary structure includes four short double-helical elements and three loops (D, anti-codon, and T loops). The record is from RNAcentral. Lineage: Bacteria; Pseudomonadati; Pseudomonadota; Gammaproteobacteria; Enterobacterales; Enterobacteriaceae.